UCCUGGCUGAUUCCCAGUGGUCUUGGAUGCAAGCUUCAAACCUGCUGCUGUCUAGCAACAGAGUGGUUCAAUUCCACCUUCCAGGUG
Non-coding RNA from Chiloscyllium plagiosum (whitespotted bambooshark), 87 nucleotides. The record is from the annotation of a RefSeq genome assembly. NCBI's taxonomy places the organism in Eukaryota, Metazoa, Chordata, Chondrichthyes, Orectolobiformes, Hemiscylliidae.